RNAcentral lists this ribosomal RNA (1346 nucleotides) under uncultured bacterium. RNAcentral's name for it is "bacterial SSU rRNA". It matches the Rfam family "Bacterial small subunit ribosomal RNA", at positions 28 to 1381 of the family's 1533-position model. The record is from RNAcentral.
GACGAACGCUGGCGGCGUGCUUAACACAUGCAAGUCGAACGGAAAGGCCCUGCUUUUGUGGGGUGCUCGAGUGGCGAACGGGUGAGUAACACGUGAGUAACCUGCCCUUGACUUUGGGAUAACUUCAGGAAACUGGGGCUAAUACCGGAUAGGAGCUCCUGCUGCAUGGUGGGGGUUGGAAAGUUUCGACGGUUGGGGAUGGACUCGCGGCUUAUCAGCUUGUUGGUGGGGUAGUGGCUUACCAAGGCUUUGACGGGUAGCCGGCCUGAGAGGGUGACCGGCCACAUUGGGACUGAGAUACGGCCCAGACUCCUACGGGAGGCAGCCGUGGGGAAUAUUGCACAAUGGGCGGAAGCCUGAUGCAGCAACGCCGCGUGCGGGAUGACGGCCUUCGGGUUGUAAACCGCUUUCGCCUGUGACGAAGCGUGAGUGACGGUAAUGGGUAAAGAAGCACCGGCUAACUACGUGCCAGCAGCCGCGGUGAUACGUAGGGUGCGAGCGUUGUCCGGAUUUAUUGGGCGUAAAGGGCUCGUAGGUGGUUGAUCGCGUCGGAAGUGUAAUCUUGGGGCUUAACCCUGAGCGUGCUUUCGAUACGGGUUGACUUGAGGAAGGUAGGGGAGAAUGGAAUUCCUGGUGGAGCGGUGGAAUGCGCAGAUAUCAGGAGGAACACCAGUGGCGAAGGCGGUUCUCUGGGCCUUUCCUGACGCUGAGGAGCGAAAGCGUGGGGAGCGAACAGGCUUAGAUACCCUGGUAGUCCACGCUGUAAACGGUGGGUACUAGGUGUGGGGUCCAUUCCACGGGUUCCGUGCCGUAGCUAACGCUUUAAGUACCCCGCCUGGGGAGUACGGCCGCAAGGCUAAAACUCAAAGGAAUUGACGGGGCCCCGCACAAGCGGCGGAGCAUGCGGAUUAAUUCGAUGCAACGCGUAGAACCUUACCUGGGUUUGACAUGGAUCGGGAGCGCUCAGAGAUGGGUGUGCCUCUUUUGGGGUCGGUUCACAGGUGGUGCAUGGCUGUCGUCAGCUCGUGUCGUGAGAUGUUGGGUUAAGUCCCGCAACGAGCGCAACCCUUGUUCACUGUUGCCAGCACGUUAUGGUGGGGACUCAGUGGAGACCGCCGGGGUCAACUCGGAGGAAGGUGGGGAUGACGUCAAGUCAUCAUGCCCCUUAUGUCCAGGGCUUCACGCAUGCUACAAUGGCUGGUACAGAGAGUGGCGAGCCUGUGAGGGUGAGCGAAUCUCGGAAAGCCGGUCUCAGUUCGGAUUGGGGUCUGCAACUCGACCUCAUGAAGUCGGAGUCGCUAGUAAUCGCAGAUCAGCAACGCUGCGGUGAAUACGUUCCCGGGGCU